AUGUACCCACGUACAUUCCGGUUCCUCCGCGCCGUCCGCACCCACCUGACGACUGCUCGCUACGUUUUGUCAGCC
Molecule: small RNA, 75 nt
Filed under: Xanthomonas campestris
Lineage: Bacteria; Pseudomonadati; Pseudomonadota; Gammaproteobacteria; Lysobacterales; Lysobacteraceae
Also listed under: 8 other names
Description: sRNA sX9
Rfam family: Xanthomonas sRNA sX9
Source: RNAcentral